Suricata suricatta (meerkat) is the source of this 1749-nucleotide long non-coding RNA. RefSeq lists it as uncharacterized. The record is from RefSeq and is a predicted model, not a curated record. NCBI's taxonomy places the organism in Eukaryota, Metazoa, Chordata, Mammalia, Carnivora, Herpestidae. The transcript has 3 exons.
UCCACUGCCUUGCCCUCUGUACCGAAGAACUUCUAAAUUCCUCACAAGGUACCUCACAGGUACUAUGCGCCUAAAACAUUAACUCUUAACAGCCCUGUGAGUAGUGAGGACAUAUUCCACCACCAUGUUGAUUACGCCUAGAAGAUCUUGAAGGAAAAAUAUAGAGUGGAAAGAUCGCAUUCCUAAACAGAAUUUAAGGAAUGGCUUAUUGGUUUCUCUCACAAUGACUCAUCUAUUCAGAAAGUUCCAAGAGUAACAAUACAUGUAAAAUCCCACCUAAAACCCACUGACUAAAGAAUCCAUCAGUUCAUACUGAUAAAAAUAAAUAAAUGAACAAGUAAAUAAGAAGGAAAGCUCUUCCUUAAGGCAAAUCCCAACUAAUCAAUGAAAAACAAAUAAUGGAAUUAGAAAAUCACCACUUGGCAAUCAGUGCAGUAAUAAUUGCUUCAUCGAUUGAUGCUAAAACUACUGGACUUCCAGGAGACCAGAGACUCCGUCGGUUCCGCUCACUACCCCAGAAGAACACCUGAUACACAGAAAGCUCUCGAUACAUGGCGAUCAAACUAAUGAAGAGAUGAAAGAAUGGAUGGCAGGCUAACAACUUUCAGGAAUUUAAAAUCAUUUUUAAUCAUACGACAAACAGAACCAGGGUUGAGAUUUCCUAAUUAUCCGGGUGAUAGUUGAGGAGGCUACACAUGGCCCAGAAGGACAUCACGUGUAACUUAUUUACAAAACCUUAACCCACAGAAAGCUUUAUCUAGAAGAUUAUAGUUAGAUAAUCACUGUAAGGAACCUGAAAGGUCCUGCGAGGACGUGAGCAAACAUCAAAGGUCAGGACUGGGGGACGUCUGCAGAGACAGAGCUAUGUGACUUCGGACAAAGGGAGGAACAGUGGUGCGCACGUGGGGGCACGCAGUUAGGCAGGAACUGCUCACAGACCCUCAUCUACAGUGGCUGGUUUGACCUUCACAAUACCUGUACGUAUUAACUGUGCUAUUAACUCCAUUUCACAGAUGAGAAAACUAAAGGAGCUUAAGUAACGUCUCACGGUCACACAUCUGGAAGCCAAAAUUCACUCCAAGACGAUCUGCUCCAGAGUCCCCACUCCUGGCCACAGCAUUCUACCGCCUCACCGAAAAUAACAGCUAGCACUUAGCACCUAUCAGGUGCUAGAGCUCUCCCUCUAAUAACCUGUGUAAUCAUGAUCACACUGUCAGGUCAAAACUACAAUUACCAGUACCUUACAAACAAGGGGACUGAGGCACAGAGAGGUGACCUGCCUACGGUUACACAGCCAGCUUUGCUACCAGAGACGAACACGUUUUAACCGGAAGUCUCACAAAGGAACAGCAGUGCAGGAGCAUCGCCCUGGGCUUGCUCUCCCUUGGAACCGCAUUUCUACUCCCUUGAUCCUCUCCUAUUCAUCUCCUCACCAGUACUUCCUCUCCACCAGGACUCGGCCCCACCGAUUUAACCAGAUGUAACGCUCACUUUAAAUAAAUUUGAGAAACAAUGAAUGAAUUCUUGAGUCAAAUUUUGAAUCCAAUUUCAAAUUGCAGUAUAACAAAACUAUAUACUAAUACCUACCAGGAGAUCACGCUACUACAAUCCAGCAGAAAGAAAAGGAGACCGAAGGUUGUAGACAUGUUAAAUGAGAAGAUGCCACAAAAAAAAAAAUAUUUCCUGCAGGGAUUAGAAACAAGGACAUGGGUGCAGUGGAAGUAAAGGGCAAUACACCUGGCUACAGAU